CAUACUCUGAUAUACAUUGCACUUUGAAUAGCACAUUAUAUUUAACAAAGCAGCCAGCGGGAAAGUGAAAUGUCUGAUUAGAAAGACCACCAAGAGAAUGAUACCUGCAUGGUUUAUGCAGUAUGUUAAUUACAAUCUGACCGUGCAAUACAGUUUGGAAAGUAGUCCAGACACUCAAUGUGUAGCCAAAGAAGCGGUUUAUUAGGAGAGUGUACAGACAACGUUUUGACCCCAGAUAAAGCUUGACAAAGACCCUCUGGGGUCAUAACAGCUUUUUUUAGUUACAUCUCGAGUGCCUGGACUAUUUUCUACUUUCCAAACUAGAGUGAAGUUUGGCCUACAUAAGGUCUGGUUGCACCCUGGGAAACAAGGGAGUGGGGUGUCCACUUGCUUCAUUGAAUACAAUACAGUUUGACAUGUUUACCAAAUUGCACAUAAUAUUAAAGUGAUGCUCAUGGUACCUGAGAUGCAAUAAAACUUCCCA
Non-coding RNA from Pelobates cultripes (western spadefoot toad), 484 nucleotides. The record is from the annotation of a GenBank genome assembly. NCBI's taxonomy places the organism in Eukaryota, Metazoa, Chordata, Amphibia, Anura, Pelobatidae.